UACGUAGGGUGCAAGCGUUGUCCGGAAUUAUUGGGCGUAAAGAGCUCGUAGGCGGUCUGUUGCGUCGGCUGUGAAAACCCGGGGCUCAACUCCGGGCCUGCAGCCGAUACGGGCAGACUAGAGUUCGGCAGGGGAGACUGGAAUUCCUGGUGUAGCGGUGAAAUGCGCAGAUAUCAGGAGGAACGCCGGUGGCGAAGGCGGGUCUCUGGGCCGAUACUGACGCUGAGGAGCGAAAGCGUGGGGAGCGAACAGG
This 253-nucleotide ribosomal RNA is filed under the name uncultured bacterium. Its description in RNAcentral is "partial 16S ribosomal RNA". It matches the Rfam family "Bacterial small subunit ribosomal RNA", at positions 524 to 776 of the family's 1533-position model. The record is from RNAcentral.